UACGGGGGGAGCAAGCGUUGUUCGGAUUUACUGGGCGUAAAGGGCGCGUAGGCGGCCACCGCAAGUCGACUGUGAAAUCUCCGGGCUUAACCCGGAAAGGUCAGCCGAUACUGCGGGGCUAGAGUGCAGAAGGGGCAACUGGAAUCUCGGUGUAGCGGUGAAAUGCGUAGAUAUCGGGAGGAACACCAGUGGCGAAAGCGGCUACCUGGACCCAUUCUUGACGCUGAGGCGCGAAAGCUAGGGGAGCAAACGGG
RNAcentral lists this ribosomal RNA (254 nucleotides) under uncultured bacterium. Its description in RNAcentral is "partial 16S ribosomal RNA". It matches the Rfam family "Bacterial small subunit ribosomal RNA", at positions 524 to 776 of the family's 1533-position model. The record is from RNAcentral.